GGAUAGCACUAUUUUGCUAUCCCCGGCCAAUAACACAAUGACACGUGAAAAAAUUAUCCUACAUGUCAUUACGUUAUUGGUUGGGGAUAGCAAAAAGUGUUAUACCU
Prunus persica (peach) is the source of this 107-nucleotide microRNA precursor. It matches the Rfam family "MIR6274 microRNA precursor family". The record is from Rfam. NCBI's taxonomy places the organism in Eukaryota, Viridiplantae, Streptophyta, Magnoliopsida, Rosales, Rosaceae.